GACGAACGCUGGCGGCGUGCCUAAUACAUGCCAGUUGAGCGCUGAAGGUUGGUACUUGUACCAACUGGAUGAGCAGCGAACGGGUGAGUAACGCGUGGGGAAUCUGCCUUUGAGCGGGGGACAACAUUUGGAAACGAAUGCUAAUACCGCAUAAAAACUUUAAACACAAGUUCUAAGUUUGAAAGAUGCAAUUGCAUCACUCAAAGAUGAUCCCGCGUUGUAUUAGCUAGUUGGUGAGGUAAAGGCUCACCAAGGCGAUGAUACGUAGCCGACCUGAGAGGGUGAUCGGCCACAUUGGGACUGAGACACGGCCCAAACUCCUACGGGAGGCAGCAGUAGGGAAUCUUCGGCAAUGGACGAAAGUCUGACCGAGCAACGCCGCGUGAGUGAAGAAGGUUUUCGGAUCGUAAAACUCUGUUGGUAGAGAAGAACGUUGGUGAGAGUGGAAAGCUCAUCAAGUGACGGUAACUACCCAGAAAGGGACGGCUAACUACGUG
Molecule: ribosomal RNA, 497 nt
Filed under: uncultured bacterium
Lineage: Bacteria
Description: partial 16S ribosomal RNA
Rfam family: Bacterial small subunit ribosomal RNA
Source: RNAcentral